AGAGUUUGAUCCUGGCUCAGGAUUAACGCUGGCGGCGUGCCUAACACAUGCAAGUCGAGCGGCAGCGAGUUUUACACUGAAUUCUGGAAGCUUCUAGUUGAAAGAGAAGAUUUAUUCAAGAAUUUUGUGUAAAAUGUCGGCGAGCGGCGGACGGCUGAGUAACGCGUGGGAACGUACCCCAAAGUGAGGGAUAACGCAUCGAAAGGUGUGCUAAUACCGCAUAUGGUCUUCGGAUUAAAGCCUUCGGGCGCUUUGGGAACGGCCUGCGUAAGAUUAGAUAGUUGGUGGGGUAAUGGCCUACCAAGUCGACGAUCUUUAACUGGUUUGAGAGGAUGAUCAGUCAGACUGGAACUGAGACACGGUCCAGACUCCUACGGGAGGCAGCAGUGAGGAAUCUUCCACAAUGGGCGAAAGCCUGAUGGAGCAACGCCGCGUGCAGGAUGAAGGCCUUCGGGUUGUAAACUGCUUUUAUAAGUGAGGAUUAUGACAGUAACUUAUGAAUACGUAGAUAUUAGAAGGAACACCGAUGGCGUAGGCAGGCUACUGGGCUGUUUCUGACACUGAGGCACGAAAGCGUGGGGAGCGAACCGGAUUAGAUACCCGGGUAGUCCACGCCGUAAACGAUGGAUACUAGCUGUUUGGGGUAUCGACCCCCUGAGUAGCGAAGCUAACGCGUUAAGUAUCCCGCCUGUGGAGUACGAUCGCAAGAUUAAAACAUAAAGGAAUUGACGGGGACCCGCACAAGCGGUGGAUCAUGUUCUUUAAUUCGAUGAUAACCGAUAAACCUUACCAGGUCUUGACAUCCUUGGAAUCUUUCAGAAAUGAGAGAGUGCUUUUUAAGAGCCAAGUGACAGGUGAUGCAUGGCCGUCGUCAGCUCGUGUCGUGAGAUGUUUGGUUAAGUCCAUCAACGAGCGCAACCCUUGUCAGUAGUUGUAUUUUUCUACUGAGACUGCCCCGGUAACGGGGAGGAAGGAGGGGAUGACGUCAGGUCAGUAUUUCCCUUACGUCCUGGGCUAGAAACGUGAUACAAUGGCUAGUACAAUGCGCAGCGAAGCCGCGAGGUGAAGCAAAUCGCAUCAAAGCUAGUCCCAGUUCGGAUUGUAGGCUGAAACUCGCCUGCAU
This 1123-nucleotide ribosomal RNA is filed under the name human oral metagenome. RNAcentral's name for it is "bacterial SSU rRNA". It matches the Rfam family "Bacterial small subunit ribosomal RNA", at positions 8 to 1321 of the family's 1533-position model. The record is from RNAcentral.